This 89-nucleotide transfer RNA is filed under the name Hypoxylon trugodes. RNAcentral's name for it is "tRNA-Lys". It matches the Rfam family "tRNA". From Rfam's summary of the family: Transfer RNA (tRNA) molecules are approximately 80 nucleotides in length. Their secondary structure includes four short double-helical elements and three loops (D, anti-codon, and T loops). Lineage: Eukaryota; Fungi; Ascomycota; Sordariomycetes; Xylariales; Hypoxylaceae. The record is from RNAcentral.
GCCCGGUUAGCUCAAUCGGUAGAGCGUGAGACUCUUACUAUUAGAGGAUCCAAAUCUCAAGGUUGCGGGUUCGACCCCCGCAUCGGGCU